UACGUAGGGUGCGAGCGUUGUCCGGAAUUAUUGGGCGUAAAGAGCUCGUAGGCGGUUUGUCGCGUCGGCCGUGAAAUCUCCACGCUUAACGUGGAGCGUGCGGUCGAUACGGGCAGACUUGAGUUCGGUAGGGGAGACUGGAAUUCCUGGUGUAGCGGUGAAAUGCGCAGAUAUCAGGAGGAACACCGGUGGCGAAGGCGGGUCUCUGGGCAUGACCUGACGCUGAGGAGCGAAAGUGUGGGGAGCGAACAGG
This 253-nucleotide ribosomal RNA is filed under the name uncultured bacterium. RNAcentral describes it as "partial 16S ribosomal RNA". It matches the Rfam family "Bacterial small subunit ribosomal RNA", at positions 524 to 776 of the family's 1533-position model. The record is from RNAcentral.